AGAAGAAAAUCGCUCCGUCAGAAGCGAUUUUAGCCUUUUGGAUAAAAAAAUUUUGAUGUGCCAUUUUUAUUUAU
This is a non-coding RNA of Solanum tuberosum (potato), 74 nucleotides long. NCBI's taxonomy places the organism in Eukaryota, Viridiplantae, Streptophyta, Magnoliopsida, Solanales, Solanaceae. The record is from RefSeq and is marked provisional.